This 1033-nucleotide ribosomal RNA is filed under the name Sphaerotilus sp. L12. Its description in RNAcentral is "bacterial SSU rRNA". It matches the Rfam family "Bacterial small subunit ribosomal RNA", at positions 28 to 1061 of the family's 1533-position model. The record is from RNAcentral. Lineage: Bacteria; Pseudomonadati; Pseudomonadota; Betaproteobacteria; Burkholderiales; Sphaerotilaceae.
AUUGAACGCUGGCGGUAUGCCUUACACAUGCAAGUCGAACGGUAGAGGGGCAACCCUUGAGAGUGGCGAACGGGUGAGUAAUACAUCGGAACGUGCCCAGUCGUGGGGGAUAACGUAGCGAAAGCUACGCUAAUACCGCAUACGACCUGAGGGUGAAAGCGGGGGAUCGCAAGACCUCGCGCGAUUGGAGCGGCCGAUGGCAGAUUAGGUAGUUGGUGGGGUAAAGGCCUACCAAGCCUGCGAUCUGUAGCUGGUCUGAGAGGACGACCAGCCACACUGGGACUGAGACACGGCCCAGACUCCUACGGGAGGCAGCAGUGGGGAAUUUUGGACAAUGGGCGAAAGCCUGAUCCAGCCAUACCGCGUGCGGGAAGAAGGCCUUCGGGUUGUAAACCGCUUUUGUCAGGGAAGAAAUCUUCUGGGCUAAUACCUCGGGAGGAUGACGGUACCUGAAGAAUAAGCACCGGCUAACUACGUGCCAGCAGCCGCGGUAAUACGUAGGGUGCAAGCGUUAAUCGGAAUUACUGGGCGUAAAGCGUGCGCAGGCGGUUCCAUAAGACAGAUGUGAAAUCCCCGGGCUCAACCUGGGAACUGCAUUUGUGACUGUGGAGCUAGAGUACGGUAGAGGGGGAUGGAAUUCCGCGUGUAGCAGUGAAAUGCGUAGAUAUGCGGAGGAACACCAAUGGCGAAGGCAAUCCCCUGGACCUGUACUGACGCUCAUGCACGAAAGCGUGGGGAGCNAACAGGAUUAGAUACCCUGGUAGUCCACGCCCUANUCGAUGUCAACUGGUUGUUGGGAGGGUUUCUUCUCAGUAUCGAAGCUAACGCGUGNAGUUGGCCGCCUGGGGAGUNCGUCCGCAAGGUUNAAACUCAAAGGAAUUGACGGGGACCCGCACAAGCGGUGNAUGAUGUGGUUUAAUUCNAUGCAACGCGAAAAACCUUACCUACCCUUGACAUGGCAGGAAUCCCGCAGAGAUGUGGGAGUGCUCGAAAGAGAACCUGCACACAGGUGCUGCAUGGCCGUCGUCAGCUC